CCUACGGGAGGCUGCAGUGGGGAAUAUUGGGCAAUGGGCGCAAGCCUGACCCAGCAACGCCGCGUGAAGGAAGAAGGCUUUCGGGUUGUAAACUUCUUUUCUCAGGGACGAAGAAAGUGACGGUACCUGAGGAAUAAGCCACGGCUACCUACGUGCCAGCAGCCGCGGUACUACGUAGGUGGGAAGCGUUAACCGGCUUUAUUGGGUGUAAAGGGCGUGUAGGUGGGAGCGCAAGUCAGAUGUGAAAACUCAGGGCUCAACCCUGAGCCGGAAUUUGAUACUGUGAUUCUUGCGUGCUGGAGAGGCAAGCGGAAUUCCGGGUGUAGCGGUGAAAUGCGUAGAUAUACGGAGGAACACCAGAGGCGAAGGCAGAUUGCUGGACAGAAACUGACGCUGAGGCGCGAAAGCGUGGGGAGCAAACAGGAUUAGAUACCCGUGUAGUC
RNAcentral lists this ribosomal RNA (443 nucleotides) under uncultured bacterium. RNAcentral describes it as "partial 16S ribosomal RNA". It matches the Rfam family "Bacterial small subunit ribosomal RNA", at positions 338 to 795 of the family's 1533-position model. The record is from RNAcentral.